RNAcentral lists this transfer RNA (72 nucleotides) under Camelus dromedarius (Arabian camel). It matches the Rfam family "tRNA". Rfam says of the family: Transfer RNA (tRNA) molecules are approximately 80 nucleotides in length. Their secondary structure includes four short double-helical elements and three loops (D, anti-codon, and T loops). The record is from Rfam by way of RNAcentral. RNAcentral also lists the same sequence under 1 other name. Lineage: Eukaryota; Metazoa; Chordata; Mammalia; Artiodactyla; Camelidae.
GUGGGUAUAGCUCAGUGGCAGAGCACACGCUUGGCAUGCACGAGGUCCUGGGUUCAAUCCCCAGUGCCUCCA